UGGGGAAUAUUGCACAAUGGGCGCAAGCCUGAUGCAGCCAUGCCGCGUGUAUGAAGAAGGCCUUCGGGUUGUAAAGUACUUUCAGCGGGGAGGAAGGUGGUAAGGUUAAUAACCUUAUCAAUUGACGUUACCGACAGAAGAAGCACCGGCUAACUCCGUGCCAGCAGCCGCGGUAAUACGGAGGGUGCAAGCGUUAAUCGGAAUUACUGGGCGUAAAGCGCACGCAGGCGGUUGAUUGAGUCAGAUGUGAAAUCCCCGGGCUUAACCCGGGAAUUGCAUCUGAUACUGGUCAGCUAGAGUCUUGUAGAGGGGGGUAGAAUUCCAGGUGUAGCGGUGAAAUGCGUAGAGAUCUGGAGGAAUACCGGUGGCGAAGGCGGCCCCCUGGACAAAGACUGACGCUCAGGUGCGAAAGCGUGGGGAGCAAACAGG
RNAcentral lists this ribosomal RNA (429 nucleotides) under Chloroflexota bacterium. Its description in RNAcentral is "Chloroflexi bacterium partial 16S ribosomal RNA". It matches the Rfam family "Bacterial small subunit ribosomal RNA", at positions 355 to 776 of the family's 1533-position model. Lineage: Bacteria; Bacillati; Chloroflexota. The record is from RNAcentral.